AUUGAACGCUGGCGGCAUGCCUUACACAUGCAAGUCGAACGGCAGCACGGGUGCUUGCACCUGGUGGCGCGUGGCGAACGGGUGAGUAAUACAUCGGAACAUGUCCUGUAGUGGGGGAUAGCCCGGCGAAAGCCGGAUUAAUACCGCAUACGAUCUACGGAUGAAAGCGGGGGACCUUCGGGCCUCGCUCUAUAGGGUUGGCCGAUGGCUGAUUAGCUAGUUGGUGGGGUAAAGGCUUACCAAGGCGACGAUCAGUAGCUGGUCUGAGAGGACGACCAGCCACACUGGGACUGAGACACGGCCCAGACUCCUACGGGAGGCAGCAGUGGGGAAUUUUGGACAAUGGGCGAAAGCCUGAUCCAGCAAUGCCGCGUGUGUGAAGAAGGCCUUCGGGUUGUAAAGCACUUUUGUCCGGAAAGAAAUCCUUGGCCCUAAUACGGUCGGGGGAUGACGUUACCGGAAGAAUAAGCACCGGCUAACUACGUG
This 486-nucleotide ribosomal RNA is filed under the name uncultured bacterium. RNAcentral describes it as "partial 16S ribosomal RNA". It matches the Rfam family "Bacterial small subunit ribosomal RNA", at positions 30 to 507 of the family's 1533-position model. The record is from RNAcentral.